This 769-nucleotide ribosomal RNA is filed under the name uncultured Bacteroidota bacterium. RNAcentral's name for it is "bacterial SSU rRNA". It matches the Rfam family "Bacterial small subunit ribosomal RNA", at positions 572 to 1339 of the family's 1533-position model. Lineage: Bacteria; Pseudomonadati; Bacteroidota. The record is from RNAcentral.
UAGGCGGGGCGUCAAGCCAGUGGUGAAAGUCGGCAGCUCAACUGUCGGAUUGCCGUUGGAACUGUAGCCCUUGAGUUGUCGUGAAGUGGUUGGAACGUGCAGUGUAGCGGUGAAAUGCAUAGAUAUUGCACAGAACGCCGAUUGCGAAGGCAGGCCACUAACGACAUACUGACGCUGAGGGACAAAAGCGUGGGUAGCGAACGGGAUUAGAUACCCCGGUAGUCCACGCCGUAAACGAUGGUCACUAGCUGCCCGUCCCGAACUUGUUUGGGAUGGGUGGCCAAGCGAAAGUGAUAAGUGACCCACCUGGGGAGUACGUUCGCAAGAAUGAAACUCAAAGGAAUUGACGGGGGCCCGCACAAGCGGUGGAGCAUGUGGUUUAAUUCGAUGAUACGCGAGGAACCUUACCAGGGCUUAAAUGGGGAGUGACAGAGGUGGAAACACCUUUUUCUUCGGACACUCUUCAAGGUGCUGCAUGGUUGUCGUCAGCUCGUGCCGUGAGGUGUCAGGUUAAGUCCUAUAACGAGCGCAACCCCUGUGGUCAGUUGCCAGCACAUAAUGGUGGGAACUCUGGCCAGACUGCCGGUGCGAACCGUGAGGAAGGUGGGGACGACGUCAAAUCAUCACGGCCCUUACGUCCUGGGCUACACACGUGCUACAAUGGCCGGCACAGAGGGCAGCCACCCCGCAAGGGGGCGCUAAUCCCAAAAGCCGGUCACAGUUCGGAUCGGGGUCUGCAACUCGACCCCGUGAAGCUGGAAUCGCUAGU